Molecule: ribosomal RNA, 253 nt
Filed under: uncultured bacterium
Lineage: Bacteria
Description: partial 16S ribosomal RNA
Rfam family: Bacterial small subunit ribosomal RNA
Source: RNAcentral
UACGUAGGGGGCUAGCGUUGUCCGGAAUCAUUGGGCGUAAAGCGCGUGUAGGCGGUCCGGUAAGUCCGCUGUGAAAGUCGAGGGCUCAACCCUCGAAUGCCGGUGGAUACUGUCGGGCUAGAGUACGGAAGAGGCGAGUGGAAUUCCUGGUGUAGCGGUGAAAUGCGCAGAUAUCAGGAGGAACACCAAUGGCGAAGGCAGCUCGCUGGGACGGUACUGACGCUGAGACGCGAAAGCGUGGGGAGCAAACAGG